This 321-nucleotide ribosomal RNA is filed under the name uncultured microorganism. RNAcentral describes it as "bacterial SSU rRNA". It matches the Rfam family "Archaeal small subunit ribosomal RNA", at positions 330 to 606 of the family's 1478-position model. The record is from RNAcentral.
GUGCAGCAGGCGAGAAUCCUUCGCAAUGCAGGAAACUGCGACGAGGGAACUCCAAGUGCCUACGCUCAGCGUAGGCUGUUCUCAAGCCUAGAAAGCUUGAGGAGUAAGGGCUGGGUAAGACGGGUGCCAUCUGUGGUAGCAGUCAAUAGAUUCGAUUUGUUACUGCAAGGCAUAAGCCGCCGCGGGUAAUACCCGCAGCCCAAGUGGUGGCCACUUUUAUUGGGCCUAAAGCGUCCGUAGCCGGCCCGGUAAAUGCCUGGGUAAAUCGUGGAGCCCAACUUCACGAAUUCCGGGUAGACUGCCGAGCUCGGGACCGGAAGA